GUCUACGGCCACACCACCCUGAACACACCCGAUCUCGUCUGAUCUCGGAAGCUAAGCAGGGUCGGGCCUGGUUAGUACUUGGAUGGGAGAAUAUGUCAAAACCUAGCCAAUGACA
Molecule: ribosomal RNA, 115 nt
Filed under: Erinaceus europaeus (western European hedgehog)
Lineage: Eukaryota; Metazoa; Chordata; Mammalia; Eulipotyphla; Erinaceidae
Source: RNAcentral